This 243-nucleotide ribosomal RNA is filed under the name uncultured bacterium. RNAcentral's name for it is "partial 16S ribosomal RNA". It matches the Rfam family "Bacterial small subunit ribosomal RNA", at positions 524 to 762 of the family's 1533-position model. The record is from RNAcentral.
UACGAGGGGGGCAAGCGUUGUUCGGAAUUACUGGGCGUAAAGACGUGCGCAGGCGGCUUUGCAAGACAGAUGUGAAAUCCCCGGGCUUAACCUCGGGAACUGCAUUUGUGACUGCAUCGCUGGAGUGCGGCAGAGGGGGAUGGAAUUCCGGCGUGUAGCAGUGAAAUGCGUAGAUAUGCGGAGGAACACCGAUGGCGAAGGCAAUCCCCUGGGCCUGCACUGACGCUCCAUGCACGAAAGCGU